ACUAUUUCCACGACAGCACUUGAAUCUCUCAUGUCUAUUCCAGAAAACGUGUUAGCUCGUGUUUCUCAGAUUUCUGAUAUGAUAUUGGAAGAGCAGUCGUUAGCAGCCCAGAGUAAAACUGUGCUGCAAGGAUCGAUUGUUAGUAAAUCUCUUAAUGUUUUUACAGAACAGUGGUCAUCAGAAACCCUGUAAAUUGCACUUUUAGCUUCAGCUUUGCUCGACACACAGAGAGGACGUUUGUUUGAGCUUUGCUGGACACAGAGAAAGGACUUUUGUUUUUGUCACUCCUCCCCCCACCCAAUACCCUAAUAGAAGAACUGGUUUCCAAGAGGAUGUGACUAAACUUUGAAACUGUUUCCACUCAUUUGGUGUAGCUGAGAGUGGGGAUACUCAAGCCAUUGUAGUUCACAUGUCUGUAGUUUUAGCAACCGUGAAAGAUGAAGGCCGGCCAGUCGGUGGCGACACACAACUUUCCGGUUUUGAGAAAAAGAUAAAAGAA
RNAcentral lists this long non-coding RNA (499 nucleotides) under Rattus norvegicus (Norway rat). RNAcentral's name for it is "long non-coding RNA NONRATT001703". Lineage: Eukaryota; Metazoa; Chordata; Mammalia; Rodentia; Muridae. The record is from RNAcentral.